Vidua chalybeata is the source of this 850-nucleotide long non-coding RNA. RefSeq lists it as uncharacterized. The record is from RefSeq and is a predicted model, not a curated record. NCBI's taxonomy places the organism in Eukaryota, Metazoa, Chordata, Aves, Passeriformes, Viduidae. The transcript is spliced from 7 exons.
GGGGAAGGCCUUUGGCUUUGGCACUGCUGGGCCCUGAGGGGCAGGAACUCUGCACAACAGCGGAAUUGAAAAGGCUUAAGUUGGUGAUCUGGGCCCAGCACUGGCUGCAGAGCCCCACCACAGCCACAGCAGAGACCCUCCAUCCCUCCCAGGCAGCGUCACCACCCCUAGAGGUACUUGAGCCUGGAAUCAAAAGUGCUGAGAUAUACAGGAGAGGUGGAAACACAGCUGGUUUACAGUUACGCGUGUGGCAUACGUCAUCUCCAUUAAGUGAUGCCAUCUUCUUAUGACACCUCCAUGCCUUGCACACAGCCUGGCUUCUGAAGGCUGCCUGAAUUUUCUGCAAUUCCUACCAACCCAGCAGUGCAGUCACCUCAUGCUCAGGAACCUGUCACCAGUAAUUUUUCUGUGGAACAGAGGAAAUGAACUGGCAGGCAGUCAUGACUGUCUUGUGCUCUUCAUGACCCCACACAGAAGAUGGCAAAGAAGGCCAGAAAGCGCUGCUGGGAUGCUGCUGCCAUCCUGGCUGUGUAAGGUGCAUGGUGGAGGCAGAACCUGGGCUGGUUGAGCUUGGGAGCUGUGGCUGCAGCUGGUCUGCUGCUUCCAGGAACACCAACCAGUGCUGUGUGGCAGAACUUUGCAAAUUGUGAAGACAGUUUUCUUCUGUGACCAGAAGUGGAAUUUCAUCUCACUUGGCUUUCUCUUCCUUGGUAUUUGUGAUGCAGUUCCAGUAUUAUCUGUGGUAAAGCAGGAAGGUAAGAGGCAGCGUGUUUCAGACCUCCAGUGAAGUGCACGAAGAGCCUGGAGCAGGCAUAUUCCUGCUGUGGCUGCCUGUGAGUUUGCUAGGCCU